UACUUUUUGCCAAAAGUAAUCAAAAUGAUUUGAAACAAAUGGUUGUUCAGAUCAAUGCAUAGGUAUUAUGGUGUAAAUACAAAGAAUUACGCAAAUAAAAUGAACCACUAAUCGUAUAAAUAUCUUUCAAAUAAUCUAUUGAAAAAUAACAAUACAAAAAAUCCCAAAUCAAAUUGUUCAAUGCCAUCCAUACGGUACCUUCUCGAUCAUAGAGGCAUACAUUUCUCAAACCCAUAGCCGCCAGCCACCGCAGUAGCUCAAGAACAUUCUGACUGUCACGAGCUUCAUCACUGUCCAGAACAACAGCCAUGUACUUAACUUUACUAAGGUCCUUGAAAGAAAUUGAACAACAGGCUUCUAUCCUCAAAAUAAUAAAGCAAAAAAAAAAAAAAUCUCCAAAAACUUAAAAGAAAAAGAAGUAUCCUCAAAUCCUUUUACAUUUCUCUACUAUUAUGAAAGGGAAAAAACAUCAUUACCUAUAUCAUGUCGAAGUGCAGCUAACUACACCUGAACAGCAAGAAAACACAUCUCAACUAUUACGAUGUUAGCAUAAAAUUAAUAACAUAACAACAUAUUAGUAGCUUCAUAGAGCUUAAAAGCUUAAUAAAAGACCAUAUGGCAUCCGCACAACAACUCAAUUCACAAUCAUCUUCAUUUGGAAGUAAAAAGAGAAAACAUCUAGUCCUCAAGGGUAAUGACAUACAUUCAUGCCAUGAACAAAGUAAUUUGCAAGAAUGAUAUAGUGAUCAAAUUGAAAUUAAAUAAAAUGCUUUAGUAUGAUUACAGUCGUGCUCAUCAUACCAGCAGCAUAUUAGAACGAACCCAUGAUCACCAAAGCCAAGUAUGUGUGUGCCAAUCAAGCAGAAAAACCAUUUAAAGAAAUAGAGAACAAAAAAUCAGGAGAAAGGACAACAAAAUCACCAAGAAACAUGGGCAUUAAAGCAACUGGUCUUUUAUCAAUCUGUAUCAGAAUACUUGCCUAGCUUCCACUAUCAGAAACUGAAAUAAAUGAAAGAACAAAGAAUAACCUAAACUCAAGACUUUGGAACCACCAGAAGCUUUAAUACUACAUAACAAAGUUUCUCCUGAAUAAUAACAAAAUAGGCAUCUCUCCAUCUCUUAUUCAACACUAAUGCACUGCAUACCAUUGAAAAUCCCACUGCAUAACCCAAAGACACCAACCUCCUCGACGAUUAGUCUCUCUCUACAUAAUUAUUAAAUAAAAAUGCUGAUAGAAUUCGGCUCAUAAGGGAUCCGCUACUUGGAGAGUUUACCUGUUUGUGUGAGACUCUACUUUCACUUGUGAGAGCCCGGGGUGGCUACCUUGUUCGUCGAGACAGAGGAGUCUCCGACGACGGCACAGGGACAGUGGCGAGUCGGGGAGGCAAGGUUGAACGACUGUGAAUUAAAGCAAUCACAUAGAGUUAAUUAACAAAAUCCAACCAAAAAAUCUGAAAAAAUAUAAAUGAAAAGGUGAAUCGCAGACAAACAGCAAUAGAAGAAGAAGAAGAAGAAGCUUACCGCCACGACGAAUUGUAAAAACACGAUUGUGGCGUUAAUAAUUCAAGGUAAUGAAUUUAUAGAUAAAAACCUAGGGUUUAAGUUUCCUUUGUUAUAAAAAUUAGAAUCCUACCUGGCGCGCAACUGGCGGACUGCUCUGGUCGCGACGGGCAGGGCGGCGCGACGGCGGCUAAGGCGGUGCGGCGGGGUCUUGUCGCGCCCCAGAGGACCGGACUGCAGCGAAUCGAAGCGCGCAACUGGCGGACUGCUCUGGUCGCGAGGGCUUGGGCGGCGCGACGGCGGCUGAAGGCGGUGCGGCGGGGUCUUGUCGCGCCUCAGAGGACCGGACUGCAGCGAAUCGAAGCAGGAGAUGAGAGUCUGUGAAAUUAGGAUUUGAGAAUUUUGGGAGAUCGCAGCGGUGGGAGGGGCGGGGCGCGGUGGGGUAGAUUGCGGCGGCGGGGGAGGGGAGAACCGGAUGUGAGAGAUGGUUGAAGGGGAAUUGGUUUUAGGGUUUGGAAGUGGGGUAGAGAAAUAUUAGAUUUUAUAUUUUUUAAAAUAAAAUAAGUGAUGUGGAUGCAUAUUGCCAUGUCAGCGAUACAGAAUUGAGCUAGAAGCUCUAGAAUUGCAAGGAUUUUAAUUCUUGAAUUCUUAGACAUGCCACAUAGGACCCCGGAUUAAGGAGAAGCCAGGAAUCCUUAAUCGUAUUAUAUAUUGAUU
RNAcentral lists this long non-coding RNA (2217 nucleotides) under Salvia miltiorrhiza (redroot sage). RNAcentral describes it as "long non-coding RNA (SMIL_LNC007332)". Lineage: Eukaryota; Viridiplantae; Streptophyta; Magnoliopsida; Lamiales; Lamiaceae. The record is from RNAcentral.